UACGUAGGCAGCAAGCGUUGUUCGGAGUUACUGGGCGUAAAGAGUGCGUAGGCGGUCCUGUAAGUUUGGUGUGAAAUCUCCCGGCUCAACUGGGAGGGUGCGCCGAAGACUGCAGGGCUUGAGUAUGGGAGAGGUAAGCGGAAUUCCUGGUGUAGCGGUGAAAUGCGUAGAUAUCAGGAGGAACACCUGUGGUGUAGACAGCUUACUGGACCAUAACUGACGCUGAGGCACGGAAGCGUGGGUAGCAAACAGG
Molecule: ribosomal RNA, 253 nt
Filed under: uncultured bacterium
Lineage: Bacteria
Description: partial 16S ribosomal RNA
Rfam family: Bacterial small subunit ribosomal RNA
Source: RNAcentral